Molecule: ribosomal RNA, 225 nt
Filed under: uncultured Bacillota bacterium
Lineage: Bacteria; Bacillati; Bacillota
Description: uncultured Firmicutes bacterium partial 16S ribosomal RNA
Rfam family: Bacterial small subunit ribosomal RNA
Source: RNAcentral
AGUAACGCGUGGGCAACCUGCCCUGCACAGGGGGACAACAGCCGGAAACGGCUGCUAAUACCGCAUAAGCGCACAGCUUCGCAUGAAGCGGUGCGAAAAGCUUUGGCGGUGCAGGAUGGGCCCGCGUCUGAUUAGCCAGUUGGCGGGGUAACGGCCCACCAAAGCGACGAUCAGUAGCCGGCCUGAGAGGGUGAACGGCCACAUUGGGACUGAGACACGGCCCAA